GCCCGGUUAGCUCAGUCGGUAGAGCAUUCGACUUUUAAUCGAAUUGUCGGGGGUUCGAGCCCCCCAUUGGGCG
Molecule: transfer RNA, 73 nt
Filed under: Melampsora larici-populina 98AG31
Lineage: Eukaryota; Fungi; Basidiomycota; Pucciniomycetes; Pucciniales; Melampsoraceae
Also listed under: 3 other names
Description: tRNA-Lys (TTT) (tRNA-Lys-TTT-1 1 to 5)
Rfam family: tRNA
About the family: Transfer RNA (tRNA) molecules are approximately 80 nucleotides in length. Their secondary structure includes four short double-helical elements and three loops (D, anti-codon, and T loops). Further hydrogen bonds mediate the characteristic L-shaped molecular structure. tRNAs have two regions of fundamental functional importance: the anti-codon, which is responsible for specific mRNA codon recognition, and the 3' end, to which the tRNAs corresponding amino acid is attached (by aminoacyl-tRNA synthetases). tRNAs cope with the degeneracy of the genetic code in two manners: having more than one tRNA (with a specific anti-codon) for a particular amino acid; and 'wobble' base-pairing, i.e. permitting non-standard base-pairing at the 3rd anti-codon position.
Source: RNAcentral